CACAGGGUGCGGACCAGAAAGAGCAGACGGUCAGUCGGGCGGGGAAGGAAGUUGCCGAGUUGCAGAGGCUGCCUACCACAAGAACUUUAGCUUACUUUUUAAAGAUUGAAGAAAAAAAAAGAAGACAGAAAAAGAAGAACUCAAAGAUACACAAAGUAAUUUGACCAAGGCUCAGAAGUUUUUGGAGCCGUGAGGGAUACAGCAGUUUGGUCAAUAUUGUCUUAACA
Molecule: small RNA, 227 nt
Filed under: Pongo abelii (Sumatran orangutan)
Lineage: Eukaryota; Metazoa; Chordata; Mammalia; Primates; Hominidae
Description: processed transcript
Source: RNAcentral